UUAGAGGAGUCGAAGCAGCGUUGGCC
Molecule: microRNA, 26 nt
Filed under: Rhipicephalus microplus (southern cattle tick)
Lineage: Eukaryota; Metazoa; Arthropoda; Arachnida; Ixodida; Ixodidae
Description: rmi-miR-5328
Source: miRBase by way of RNAcentral